RNAcentral lists this transfer RNA (72 nucleotides) under Heterocephalus glaber (naked mole-rat). It matches the Rfam family "tRNA". From Rfam's summary of the family: Transfer RNA (tRNA) molecules are approximately 80 nucleotides in length. Their secondary structure includes four short double-helical elements and three loops (D, anti-codon, and T loops). Lineage: Eukaryota; Metazoa; Chordata; Mammalia; Rodentia; Bathyergidae. The record is from Rfam by way of RNAcentral.
GGGGAUGUAGCUCAGCAGCAUAGCGCCUGCCUGUCAAGCACGAGGCCCUGAGUUCAAUUCCUAGCAAACACA